RNAcentral lists this ribosomal RNA (742 nucleotides) under Salmonella enterica subsp. enterica serovar Mikawasima. RNAcentral's name for it is "partial 23S ribosomal RNA". It matches the Rfam family "Bacterial large subunit ribosomal RNA", at positions 549 to 1190 of the family's 2925-position model. Lineage: Bacteria; Pseudomonadati; Pseudomonadota; Gammaproteobacteria; Enterobacterales; Enterobacteriaceae. The record is from RNAcentral.
CCUGAAACCGUGUACGUACAAGCAGUGGGAGCCCCACCACCAAAGCAUUCUCUGGUGUUGAAGGCCCUGCAAAGCAGCAUCGCGGUGGCGGAGCGUCGUUUGCGACGCCCAACACACAAAACAAGCGGUGAAUGCUUUGGGGUGGGGUGACUGCGUACCUUUUGUAUAAUGGGUCAGCGACUUAUAUUCUGUAGCAAGGUUAACCGUAUAGGGGAGCCGUAGGGAAACCGAGUCUUAACCGGGCGUUAAGUUGCAGGGUAUAGACCCGAAACCCGGUGAUCUAGCCAUGGGCAGGUUGAAGGUUGGGUAACACUAACUGGAGGACCGAACCGACUAAUGUUGAAAAAUUAGCGGAUGACCUGUGGCUGGGGGUGAAAGGCCAAUCAAACCGGGAGAUAGCUGGUUCUCCCCGAAAGCUAUUUAGGUAGCGCCUCGUGAAUUCAUCUCCGGGGGUAGAGCACUGUUUCGGCUAGGGGGCCAUCCCGGCUUACCAACCCGAUGCAAACUGCGAAUACCGGAGAAUGUUAUCACGGGAGACACACGGCGGGUGCUAACGUCCGUCGUGAAGAGGGAAACAACCCAGACCGCCAGCUAAGGUCCCAAAGUCAUGGUUAAGUGGGAAACGAUGUGGGAAGGCCCAGACAGCCAGGAUGUUGGCUUAGAAGCAGCCAUCAUUUAAAGAAAGCGUAAUAGCUCACUGGUCGAGUCGGCCUGCGCGGAAGAUGUAACGGGGCUAAACCAU